This 187-nucleotide ribosomal RNA is filed under the name uncultured bacterium. RNAcentral's name for it is "partial 16S ribosomal RNA". It matches the Rfam family "Bacterial small subunit ribosomal RNA", at positions 707 to 895 of the family's 1533-position model. The record is from RNAcentral.
GGCCGAUUGCGUAGGCAGCUGUCCAGACCCUGAUUGACGCUGAUGCACGAAAGCGUGGGGAUCGAACGGGAUUAGAUACCCCGGUAGUCCACGCCGUAAACGAUGAUAACUGGCUAUUGGUCCGUAUUGGGUCAGUGGCUGCGCGAAAGCAUUAAGUUAUCCACCUGGGGAGUACNGCCGCNAGGCU